RNAcentral lists this ribosomal RNA (414 nucleotides) under uncultured bacterium. RNAcentral's name for it is "bacterial SSU rRNA". It matches the Rfam family "Bacterial small subunit ribosomal RNA", at positions 508 to 920 of the family's 1533-position model. The record is from RNAcentral.
UCAGCAGCCGCGGUAAUACGUAGGUGGCAAGCGUUGUCCGGAAUUACUGGGUGUAAAGGGCGUGUAGGCGGGGCGGCAAGUCAGAUGUGAAAUACCGUGGCUUAACUGCGGGGGUGCAUCUGAAACUGUCGUUCUUGAGUGUCGGAGAGGAAAGUGGAAUUCCCAGUGUAGCGGUGAAAUGCGUAGAGAUUGGGAGGAACACCAGUGGCGAAGGCGGCUUUCUGGACGAUAACUGACGCUGAGGCGCGAAAGCGUGGGUAGCAAACAGGAUUAGAUACCCUGGUAGUCCACGCCGUAAACGAUGGAUACUAGGUGUAGGAGGUAUCGACCCCUUCUGUGCCGGAGUUAACACAAUAAGUAUCCCACCUGGGGAGUACGGCCGCAAGGUUGAAACUUAAAGGAAUUGGCGGGGGA